UACAGAGGGUGCAAGCGUUGUUCGGAAUUAUUGGGCGUAAAGGGCGCGUAGGCGGUGCCACAAGUCACCUGUGAAAUCUCCGGGCUUAACUCGGAGCCUGCAGGCGAAACUGUGGUGCUGGAGUGUGGGAGAGGUGCGUGGAAUUCCUGGUGUAGCGGUGAAAUGCGUAGAUAUCAGGAGGAACACCGGUGGUGUAGACGGCUCUCUGGACCGUAACUGACGCUGAGACACGAAAGCGUGGGUAGCAAACAGG
This 253-nucleotide ribosomal RNA is filed under the name uncultured bacterium. Its description in RNAcentral is "partial 16S ribosomal RNA". It matches the Rfam family "Bacterial small subunit ribosomal RNA", at positions 524 to 776 of the family's 1533-position model. The record is from RNAcentral.